GGGGUUGUGGCUUAGCGGUAAAGCACUCACCUCGUAUGUGCAAGACCCUGAGUUUGAUCCUCAGCACCACA
This 71-nucleotide transfer RNA is filed under the name Marmota monax (woodchuck). RNAcentral describes it as "tRNA.Thr". It matches the Rfam family "tRNA". From Rfam's summary of the family: Transfer RNA (tRNA) molecules are approximately 80 nucleotides in length. The record is from RNAcentral. Lineage: Eukaryota; Metazoa; Chordata; Mammalia; Rodentia; Sciuridae.